CAAUAGCGUAUAUUAAAGUUGUUGCAGUUAAAAAGCUCGUAGUUGGAUUUCUGGUCGGAAGCUCCUGUCCUCUGAUGAGCGUACAAGUGCGUCCUACCAUCCUUCUGUUAACCUUUAAGGCUUUCGCGGCUUUCUAGGGGCUCAGAUAUUUUACCUUGAGAAAAUUAGAGUGUUUCAGGCAGGCUAGCGCCGGAAUACAUUAGCAUGGAAUAAUGGAAUAGGACUUUUGCCUCUUCUGUUGGUCAUGAGGCUCGAGUAAUGAUUAAUAGGGAUAGUUGGGGGCAUUAGUACUUAACUGUCAGAGGUGAAAUUCUCGGAUUUGUUAAAGACUAACUUAUGCAAAAGCAUUUGCCAAGGAUGUUUNCAUUAA
This 370-nucleotide ribosomal RNA is filed under the name uncultured eukaryote. RNAcentral's name for it is "partial 18S ribosomal RNA". It matches the Rfam family "Eukaryotic small subunit ribosomal RNA", at positions 592 to 976 of the family's 1831-position model. The record is from RNAcentral.